GCACAGGGAGCAUUUCCUGGACAACGAGAUCGACGGCAGUCACCUGCCCUCCCUCACCAAGGAGGACUAUCUGGACCUGGGGGUGACGCGUGUCGGACAGCGCAUGAACAUCGCCCGCGCUCUGAAGAGAGUGACUGACAGGCUCUCCAGUUCUCCUUUUCCCAUUUCUGCUCUGUCACCACGAGGAAGAAGGGAUGAUGGGAGUCGGAGCUGAGAAGACAAACAGAAAGAGAAAGGAGGGGGGAUGGAGUCAGUGAGGGAACAGGAGAGAGAGAGGCCACAACUGCUGCUAUCCAUGAGGGAUUCACACAACAAAAGCAGAGAACCUGAUUUCACCUAGAGGGAGGACCGAUCAGGAAAAGCGAGGGGAAAUGAAGGAUGGAACAAGGGCUGACCAAUGCCUGGUACUCAGGGCCUGGUAGCUGACUCACACAGAUACACUCGCAUGCACACAAAUACAGUAACACACACAAGCACUGACUCUAAUGUCAACACACACACACAAACACUAUGAGGAUGGAAUGACUGAAUGUACAUUGAGGCAACAAAUAACAAUAGGAGUAAAAUAGUGACAAAACUUAGCCCAAAAUAUUGAGAGAAACAAUCAAAUGUUGUUUAUCUUUUUCAUCUGAGCAGUUCAUAGUGUUGUUGGGGUAAGAGAGAAUGAGGAUUGUCCUCAUUAUUAACACUAGUUAGAGCUUUCUCCACCUGUCUUCUCUGGGUAGCUGUAGUUCCUCCUCUCUACCCUAGGGUUAGGUAGCUCCUCCUCUCUACCCUAGGGUUAGGUAGCUCCUCCUCUACCCUAGGGUUAGGUAGCUCCUCCUCUCUACCCUAGGGCUAGGGUUAGGUAGCUCCUCGUCUCUACUCUAGGGUUAGGUAGCUCCUCGUCUCUACCCUAGGGUUAGGGUUAGGUAGCUCCUCCUCUCUACCCUAGGGUUAGGUAGCUCCUCCUAUCUACCCUAGGGUUAGGUAGCUCCUCCUCUCUACCCUAGGGUUAGGUAGCUCCUCCUCUCUACCCUAGGAUUAGGUAGCUCCUCCUCUCUACCCUAGGAUUAGGAAGUACCUCCUCUCUACCCUAGGGUUAGGUAGCUCCUCCUCUCUACCCUAGGGUUAGGUAGCCCCUCCUCUUUACCCUAUGGUUAGGUAGCUCCUCCUCUCUACCCUAGGGUUAGGGUUAGGGUUAGGUAGCUCCUCCUCUCUACCCUAGGGUUAGGUAGCUCCUCCUCUUUACCCUAGGGUUAGGGUUAGGCAGCUCCUCCUCUCUACCCUAGGGUUAGGUAGCUCCUCCUCUCUACCCUAGGGUUAGGUAGCUCCUCCUCUCUACCCUAGG
Molecule: RNA transcript, 1330 nt
Organism: Oncorhynchus tshawytscha (Chinook salmon)
Lineage: Eukaryota; Metazoa; Chordata; Actinopteri; Salmoniformes; Salmonidae
Exons: 3
Source: RefSeq, a predicted model, not a curated record